GUUCGUUUGAGCUACAACAUAUCAUAAAAGAUGUUUCGUCUUGUCGUCUUCGCUUGCAUUGCUCUUUGUCUAGUACAAGGAUCUUUUCUUCCUGCACAACCUUAUAAUUACGGAUACGCCGUCAAUAAUCUCUUCAGCCACCAGUACAAACAAGAAACCGG
This is a long non-coding RNA of Argiope bruennichi, 161 nucleotides long. RefSeq lists it as uncharacterized. The record is from RefSeq and is a predicted model, not a curated record. Lineage: Eukaryota; Metazoa; Arthropoda; Arachnida; Araneae; Araneidae. The transcript is spliced from 3 exons.